This 492-nucleotide ribosomal RNA is filed under the name uncultured bacterium. RNAcentral's name for it is "partial 16S ribosomal RNA". It matches the Rfam family "Bacterial small subunit ribosomal RNA", at positions 29 to 507 of the family's 1533-position model. The record is from RNAcentral.
AGUGAACGCUGGCGGUAGGCCUAAUACAUGCAAGUCGAACGGCCGCACAGUAAGAUUUUGCUCUUACGGUUGGCGAGUGGCGGACGGGUGAGGCAUACAUCGGAUUCUACUUUUUCUUGGGUGAUAACGUAGGACAACUUCUGCUACUACCUCAUAUGUCCUACGGGUGAAAGCAGUAGAUCUUCGCACCUUUCGUGUCUGAUUUAGCCGAUGUCGGAUUAGCUAGUUGGCGUGGUAAAGGCCCACCAAGGCGACGAUCCGUAGCUGGUCUGAGAGGAUGAUCGGCCACACUGGAACUGAGACACGGUCCAGACUCCUACGGGAGGCAGCAGUAGGGAAUCUUGCGCAAUGGGCGAAAGCUUGACGGAGCAACGCCGCGUGAGUGAUGAAGGUCUUCGGGUCGUAAAGCUCUGUUGUUAGGGAAGAACAACAGCGGAAUAAAACACCGACGUCCUGACGGUACCCAAUCAGAAAGCAACGGCUAACUACGUG